RNAcentral lists this ribosomal RNA (468 nucleotides) under uncultured bacterium. RNAcentral describes it as "partial 16S ribosomal RNA". It matches the Rfam family "Bacterial small subunit ribosomal RNA", at positions 28 to 507 of the family's 1533-position model. The record is from RNAcentral.
AACGAACGCUGGCGGCGUGCUUAACACAUGCAAGUCGAACGGAAAGGCCCUGCUUUUGUGGGGUGCUCGAGUGGCGAACGGGUGAGUAACACGUGAGUAACCUGCCCUUGACUUUGGGAUAACUUCAGGAAACUGGGGCUAAUACCGGAUAGGAGCUCCUGCUGCAUGGUGGGGGUUGGAAAGUUUCGGCGGUUGGGGAUGGACUCGCGGCUUAUCAGCUUGUUGGUGGGGUAGUGGCUUACCAAGGCUUUGACGGGUAGCCGGCCUGAGAGGGUGACCGGCCACAUGGGGACUGAGAUACGGCCCAGACUCCUACGGGAGGCAGCAGUGGGGAAUAUUGCACAAUGGGCGGAAGCCUGAUGCAGCAACGCUGCGUGCGGGAUGACGGCCUUCGGGUUGUAAACCGCUUUCGCCUGUGACGAAGCGUGAGUGACGGUAAUGGGUAAAGAAGCACCGGCUAACUACGUG